AACGAACGCUGGCGGCAGGCCUAACACAUGCAAGUCGAACGCGUCCUUCGGGACGAGUGGCAGACGGGUGAGUAACGCGUGGGAACGUACCCUUUGGUUCGGAACAACAGCGGGAAACUGCUGCUAAUACCGGAUAAGCCCUUCGGGGGAAAGAUUUAUCGCCAGAGGAUCGGCCCGCGUUAGAUUAGCUUGUUGGUGAGGUAAUGGCUCACCAAGGCUACGAUCUAUAGCUGGUCUGAGAGGAUGAUCAGCCACACUGGGACUGAGACACGGCCCAGACUCUUACGGGAGGCAGCAGUGGGGAAUCUUGGACAAUGGGGCGAAAGCCUGAUCCAGCCAUGCCGCGUGAAUGAUGAAGGCCUUAGGGUUGUAAAGCUCUUUUGCCGGGGACGGAUAAUGACGGUACCCGGAGAAUAAGUCCCGGCUAACUUCGUGCCAGCAG
This 442-nucleotide ribosomal RNA is filed under the name uncultured bacterium. Its description in RNAcentral is "bacterial SSU rRNA". It matches the Rfam family "Bacterial small subunit ribosomal RNA", at positions 29 to 514 of the family's 1533-position model. The record is from RNAcentral.